GUGUGCUGUAAAAGCCUGGGCAU
RNAcentral lists this non-coding RNA (23 nucleotides) under Cricetulus griseus (Chinese hamster). The record is from RNAcentral. Lineage: Eukaryota; Metazoa; Chordata; Mammalia; Rodentia; Cricetidae.